Molecule: ribosomal RNA, 509 nt
Filed under: uncultured bacterium
Lineage: Bacteria
Description: partial 16S ribosomal RNA
Rfam family: Bacterial small subunit ribosomal RNA
Source: RNAcentral
GACGAACGCUGGCGGCGUGCUUAACACAUGCAAGUGGAGCGACGAACCAGGGCUUGCCCUGGGGCAGAGCCGCGAACGGGUGAGUAACACGUGGGUAACCUGCCCAGAUGACCGGGACAACCCGAGGAAACUCGGGCUAAUACCGGAUGUGCUGUCCCCACAUCAGUGGGGUUAGGAAAGGUAGCUUCGGCUUCCGCAUCUGGAUGGGCCCGCGGCCCAUUAGCUUGUUGGUGAGGUAACGGCUCACCAAGGCUUCGAUGGGUAGCUGGUCUGAGAGGGCGAUCAGCCACACUGGGACUGAGACACGGCCCAGACUCCUACGGGAGGCAGCAGUGGGGAAUCUUGCGCAAUGCGCGAAAGCGUGACGCAGCAGCGCCGCGUGCGGGAAGACGGCCUUCGGGUUGUAAACCGCUUUCAGUUGAGACGAGGCCUUUGCGGUUAAUAGCCGUGGAAGGUGACGGUACCUUCAGAAGAAGCCCCGGCUAACUACGUGCCAGCCGCCGCAGUAA